UGGGGAAUAUUGGACAAUGGGCGCAAGCCUGAUCCAGCCAUGCCGCGUGAGUGAUGAAGGCCCUAGGGUUGUAAAGCUCUUUCACCGGUGAAGAUAAUGACGGUAACCGGAGAAGAAGCCCCGGCUAACUUCGUGCCAGCAGCCGCGGUAAUACGAAGGGGGCUAGCGUUGUUCGGAUUUACUGGGCGUAAAGCGCACGUAGGCGGACUUUUAAGUCAGGGGUGAAAUCCCGGGGCUCAACCCCGGAACUGCCUUUGUUACUGGAAGUCUUGAGUAUGGUAGGGGUGAGUGGAAUUCCGAGUGUAGAGGUGAAAUUCGUAGAUAUUCGGAGGAACACCAGUGGCGAAGGCGGCGCACUGGACCAUUACUGACGCUGAGGUGCGAAAGCGUGGGGAGCAAACAGG
Molecule: ribosomal RNA, 404 nt
Filed under: Actinomycetes bacterium
Lineage: Bacteria; Bacillati; Actinomycetota; Actinomycetes
Description: Actinobacteria bacterium partial 16S ribosomal RNA
Rfam family: Bacterial small subunit ribosomal RNA
Source: RNAcentral